Molecule: transfer RNA, 73 nt
Filed under: Camelus bactrianus (Bactrian camel)
Lineage: Eukaryota; Metazoa; Chordata; Mammalia; Artiodactyla; Camelidae
Also listed under: 2 other names
Rfam family: tRNA
About the family: Transfer RNA (tRNA) molecules are approximately 80 nucleotides in length. Their secondary structure includes four short double-helical elements and three loops (D, anti-codon, and T loops).
Source: Rfam by way of RNAcentral
GACGUUAUUGCUUAAAUGGUAGAGUGCAUGCUUAGCAUGCAUGAAGUUCGGAGUUCAAUCCUCAGUACCUCCA